Molecule: non-coding RNA, 547 nt
Organism: Peromyscus maniculatus bairdii (prairie deer mouse)
Lineage: Eukaryota; Metazoa; Chordata; Mammalia; Rodentia; Cricetidae
Source: RefSeq, a predicted model, not a curated record
CUCAUUCGGAGUGAAAUAAUGACGUCUAAUGCCCACACACGGCUCCCCGUGACCUUAUUCAAUCUUGGGGCUGAUCGGGAAAUAUAUUGAUUCAAUUAUACACUGAUGACAAAUGAACUCAAAGAAAGAGGAAAAAAAGGCCAGGCCCUCCACCUUGUGGUCUCAGCCUGUUGAAGGCAGAAGACAGAGACUGGGAACAGAGCCAGAGGGUUGGUUAGGGCCUGGAAGGCAAGGAGCAAUUGAGCGAUUUUGUCCUCAGAAGGCUCUGACUGCAGAGAGGGCCCACCCUGGUGUGUGCCGAGGAACCAAAGGUCAGGACGCAGCCAGGGAGGCCUGGACGCAGAUCUGGAGCUCCCAGCCCUGGCCAUACAUCUGCCACAGGGAUCGAUGGAAGUCAUUAUCAUUGCCACAUGUUAAUGAUACCAAUUAAUUCCCCAUCUGUGGGCCCAAUGCAGCCUUCAGCACUGAAGGUUAAAGAGAGGGGACUUUCUCAGGGUGAGUCUCCCCAGGGUGCCAGUUCUGGGCCUGUGUGUGAGGCUGGCAAGAG